UAAAAGCCUAUGUAGUGUUUCC
This 22-nucleotide non-coding RNA is filed under the name Arabidopsis thaliana (thale cress). Lineage: Eukaryota; Viridiplantae; Streptophyta; Magnoliopsida; Brassicales; Brassicaceae. The record is from RNAcentral.